This 41-nucleotide ribosomal RNA is filed under the name Eutreptiella gymnastica. RNAcentral's name for it is "partial Eukaryotic small subunit ribosomal RNA". Lineage: Eukaryota; Euglenozoa; Euglenophyceae; Eutreptiales; Eutreptiaceae. The record is from RNAcentral.
UCUGGUUGAUCCUGCCAUAUGCUUCUCUCAAGGACUAAGCC